RNAcentral lists this ribosomal RNA (492 nucleotides) under uncultured bacterium. RNAcentral describes it as "partial 16S ribosomal RNA". It matches the Rfam family "Bacterial small subunit ribosomal RNA", at positions 29 to 507 of the family's 1533-position model. The record is from RNAcentral.
AGUGAACGCUGGCGGUAGGCCUAACACAUGCAAGUCGAACGGCAGCACAGUAAGAGCUUGCUCUUACGGGUUGCGAGUGGCGGACGGGUGAGGAAUACAUCGGAAUCUACUUUUUCGUGGGGGAUAACGUAGGGAAACUUACGCUAAUACCGCAUACGACCUACGGGUGAAAGCAGGGGAUCUUCGGACCUUGCGCGAUUGAAUGAGCCGAUGUCGGAUUAGCUAGUUGGCGGGGUAAAGGCCCACCAAGGCGGCGAUCCGUAGCUGGUCGGAGAGGAUGGUCAGCCACCCUGGAACGGAGACACGGUCCAGACUCCUAAGGUAGGGAGCAGUGGGGAAUAUUGGACAACGGGCGCAAGCCUGAUCCAGCCAUACCGCGUGGGUGAAGAAGGCCUUCGGGUUGUAAAGCCCUUUUGUGGGGAAAGAAAAGCAGCAGGUUAAUACCCCGCUGUUCUGACGGUACCCAAAGAAUAAGCACCGGCUAACUUCGUG